AUGGCUGUCUCGACGACAGUGCUGUCACUGGUGCUCGUCGUGUGCUUCUGCUGCCAUGUCGUCGUCCCUUCGCUAGCCUCCUCCUCCGAGGAGAACUUCCUUCAAUGCCUGUCGGAGAAGAUACCUGGCGAGCUCCUGUUCACGCAGAGCUCGAGCGGCUUCAUGUCCGUGCUGACGUCCUCCGUCCAGAACGCCAGGUUCGCGACCAACGCCACGGUGCGGCCGGCGUGCAUCGUCACGGCGUCCGACGUCGCCCACGUCCAGGACGCCGUGCGGUGCGGCCGCUGGCACGGAGUGCGCCUCCGCGUGCGCAGCGGCGGGCACGACUACGAGGGCCUGUCGUACCGGUCCGUGCGCGCCGAGGUGUUCGCGGUGCUGGACCUCGCGAGGCUGCGCGCCGUGCGCGUCCGUCCGGGGGAGAAGGACGAGGAGGCCUCCGCGUGGGUGGACUCCGGCGCGACGCUGGGCGAGCUCUACUACGCCGUGGGCAUGGCCAGCCCCACGCUGGCGUUCCCGGGCGGCGCGUGCCCGACGGUCGGCGUCGGAGGGUUCCUGAGCGGAGGCGGCAUCGGCCUGAUGAUGCGCAAGUUCGGCACCGGCGCGGACAACGUCCUCGACGCCAGGAUCGUCAACGCCGACGGCGACGUCCUCGACAAGGCGGCCAUGGGGGAGGAUCUCUUCUGGGCCAUCCGGGGCGGAGGCGGCGAGAGCUUCGGCGUGGUGGUGUCGUGGAAGCUGAAGCUCUCCGUCGUCCCUCGGACGGUGACGGUGGUGAACACCGUCAGGGCCUUCGACGAGACCACCGCCGCCGUGCUCGCCAAAUGGGAGACGUUCGCGGUGAGGCCGUUCCUCCCGGACCUCACCAUCCGCGCCGUGGUGCAGGGCAACAACACCGUCUUCCAGACCUUCUUCCUCGGCAGCUGCUCGCGGCUGGUGGGCAAGAUGGACGCCUUCUUCCCGGAGCUGGGCACGAGGGAGGGCGACUGCAGGGAGAUGAGCUGGGUUCGCGCCAUGGCGUUCAUCACCCUGAGCAGCUCCGACGUCAACGUGCCCCUGGAGGGGAUGCUGAAGCGGACCAACAACCUGGGCACGUACGUGAAGAACAAGUCGGACUACGUGCGGUGCGCCGUGGGCAAGGCAGGAUGGGAAAGAAUCUACCGGGAGCACCUGUCGCGGAACGGCGCCCUAAUGAUGAUCAUGGAGCCGCAUGGCGGCGUGGUCGGCAGCGUCAUCCCGGACUCCUUCACGCCGUACCCGCACCGCAACGGCGUGCUCUACAACAUCCAAUACGUGGCCUUCUGGUGGGCGGACGGCGGCGCCGCGGAGGCGGCCAACGGGUGGAUCAACGGGCUGUACGGGUUCAUGGAGCCGCUGGUGAGCAGCAACCCGAGGGAGGCCUUUGUCAACUACCGCGACCUGGACAUCGGGCAGAACACGGUGGGCAACGACGGCGUGACGACGUACGAGAGCGGGAAGGUGUGGGGUGAGAAGUACUUCAUGGGGAACUUCCACCGGCUGGCGACGGUGAAGGGGCAGGUGGAUCCCGGCGACUACUUCAGAAACGAGCAGAGCAUCCCGCCGUUCCGAGCCGCCUAG
Molecule: ribosomal RNA, 1596 nt
Filed under: Triticum aestivum (bread wheat)
Lineage: Eukaryota; Viridiplantae; Streptophyta; Magnoliopsida; Poales; Poaceae
Description: partial small subunit ribosomal RNA
Source: RNAcentral